This 632-nucleotide long non-coding RNA is filed under the name Jatropha curcas. RNAcentral's name for it is "long non-coding RNA (JCUR_LNC000788)". The record is from RNAcentral. Lineage: Eukaryota; Viridiplantae; Streptophyta; Magnoliopsida; Malpighiales; Euphorbiaceae.
UCGGAUAUCAGGCAAUAAAAAAUUCAUCAAUCGAGCCAAAUCAAAUUUAAAUCGAACCAAAUCAGCAACUAACCUAUUUAGAAAUCUAAAAAUCCCUGUUUUGCUCUAACCCAAAAUCCCUUCUCCCUCUUCUUGAUCGCACCACAGCCCCCUCCCCUAUUCCCUUUGUUUACCGUUAACCGGAGCUCAAAGCUUCGUCGAUCUGACCACCUCAAAUCGCCUCUGGUCAGCGCUUUUGCCUUCGUCCUUGUUCAAGCGGUGCUAAUGAGAGAGACAGAGGUCGCUCGAGACAGUCCUCUUUCUCCUUUCUUUUGGCGUUUCCGGUGACCUGAGCUCAAGUCGCGCCUACCAAAGCUUCUUGUCGCCAUUCCUCCGUCACUUACUCCAUCUCCGGUUUCUCUCUUCCUCUUCCGGCAAGCGCAGUAGAGAGCGAGUCGUAGUCUGGCUUUUCUGGUCGAUCCAACCCGCUUCAGCGCUACUCUUUGCUUCUCCGGAAAGAUCGGCCACAAGCCGGCGUGACCAAUCAAUAAUUUUUUUAUUAUGUAUGUCGAAAUUCCUUGCUGUAUUUUUUUUUUGUUUAUUCAUGUUAUUCAAUAUUUUUUACCUUUGAACCUUUGAAAUCAUUUGUUUAG